Molecule: unclassified non-coding RNA, 296 nt
Filed under: Hevea brasiliensis (rubber tree)
Lineage: Eukaryota; Viridiplantae; Streptophyta; Magnoliopsida; Malpighiales; Euphorbiaceae
Source: RNAcentral
GGAGAGGGAAGCCAGUUGGCGAUUAGUGGAUGCGGCCGGACGACGGUGAGGAGGUGGUGAAGGUGGUCGGCGGCGGCGCAGAGUUGGUAGGGGCAAACGCCGUCGUAUGCGUGCUGCGUUAGGGCAAGGCAGUGAGAGAAGGUUGAAUUGCAGGCUGAGUCAAAUUCGGGCGAGUUUGUAAGUGAGUUUCUGACUCGUUUUGAGGCUGAGAUUCCCAUUAUCCUUCUUCCUCGCUCUCUCCUCCCCACAACUAGUUCUAGUUUUUAAUGACACUUGAAUAAAUGUCUGAAAACAAA